AAGAAAAGAAAAGACAAAACCAGACGAGUUGGGCCUGUCAGAGUUAACCACGUUCACAGAAUGUAAUUAAGUGCCGGGAAGGUUCUGUGCUGUGUUCUCUGAUUUACUGCUUCGUUCCGGGGACGGCUCUUCCACGGGGCGAACGCUGUGGGGUCGGGGCGCCGGGGGAGCCGAGAUGGGGCGGCGGGCGCCUGUUCCGAUCCCGGGCUGGGCGCUCGGGUCUACGGCUUGGCACCGCCGCGCGCCGGGUGGCGAGCGCAACGCGCUCAGCGGAGGCCACACCUGCACCUCAUUUGCUUGCGAGCAGCGCCAUAACCCGCCUGCUGAUGGGGCGCCUUCUCUUUCAUUCUCCGGAUUAUGACAAGUUAUUAAUUGCCGCCAUUAGCCGCAGCAGCCUGCGCGAGAUCUCUGCUGCUCUCUGGAGCACUGUACCCAGCACUGCAUGAUCAAAGACAAGACUACUCACUGCCCUCAGAAGCUG
This 481-nucleotide long non-coding RNA is filed under the name Ictidomys tridecemlineatus (thirteen-lined ground squirrel). Its description in RNAcentral is "lncRNA (ENSSTOG00000033394.1)". Lineage: Eukaryota; Metazoa; Chordata; Mammalia; Rodentia; Sciuridae. The record is from RNAcentral.